UUCAGAAGUAAAUGAAGGGCUUUUCCAAGA
This 30-nucleotide non-coding RNA is filed under the name Rattus norvegicus (Norway rat). Lineage: Eukaryota; Metazoa; Chordata; Mammalia; Rodentia; Muridae. The record is from RNAcentral.